GACGUAGGGCGCGAGCGUUGUCCGGAUUUAUUGGGCGUAAAGAGCUCGUAGGUGGUUCGGUAAGUCGGAUGUGAAAUCUCCAGGCUCAACCUGGAGGGGUCAUUCGAUACUGCCGUGACUAGAGUUCGGUAGGGGAGUGUGGAAUUCCUGGUGGAGCGGUGAAAUGCGCAGAUAUCAGGAGGAACACCCGUAGCGAAGGCGGCACUCUGGGCCGAUACUGACACUGAGGAGCGAAAGCGUGGGGAGCAAACAGG
Molecule: ribosomal RNA, 254 nt
Filed under: uncultured bacterium
Lineage: Bacteria
Description: partial 16S ribosomal RNA
Rfam family: Bacterial small subunit ribosomal RNA
Source: RNAcentral